Molecule: non-coding RNA, 29 nt
Filed under: Rattus norvegicus (Norway rat)
Lineage: Eukaryota; Metazoa; Chordata; Mammalia; Rodentia; Muridae
Source: RNAcentral
UGGCAGAAUGUCAUAGAUGUUUGUCUUCA